GACGAACGCUGGCGGCGUGCCUAAUACAUGCAAGUAGAACGCACAGUUUAUACCGUAGCUUGCUACACCAUAGACUGUGAGUUGCGAACGGGUGAGUAACGCGUAGGUAACCUGCCUGGUAGCGGGGGAUAACUAUUGGAAACGAUAGCUAAUACCGCAUAAUAUUGAUUAUUGCAUGAUAAUUGAUUGAAAGAUGCUAUUGCAUCACUACCAGAUGGACCUGCGUUGUAUUAGCUAGUAGGUGAGGUAACGGCUCACCUAGGCGACGAUACAUAGCCGACCUGAGAGGGUGAUCGGCCACACUGGGACUGAGACACGGCCCAGACUCCUAUGGGAGGCAGCAGUAGGGAAUCUUCGGCAAUGGACGAAAGUCUGACCGAGCAACGCCGCGUGAGUGAAGAAGGUUUUCGGAUCGUAAAGCUCUGUUGUAAGAGAAGAACGGGUGUGAGAGUGGAAAGUUCACACUGUGACGGUAUCUUACCAGAAAGGGACGGCUAACUACGUG
RNAcentral lists this ribosomal RNA (505 nucleotides) under uncultured bacterium. RNAcentral's name for it is "partial 16S ribosomal RNA". It matches the Rfam family "Bacterial small subunit ribosomal RNA", at positions 28 to 507 of the family's 1533-position model. The record is from RNAcentral.